This 325-nucleotide ribosomal RNA is filed under the name uncultured soil bacterium. RNAcentral's name for it is "bacterial SSU rRNA". It matches the Rfam family "Bacterial small subunit ribosomal RNA", at positions 26 to 349 of the family's 1533-position model. The record is from RNAcentral.
AGAUUGAACGCUAGCGGGAUGCUUUACACAUGCAAGUCGAACGGCAGCGCAAGACCUUCGGGUCUGGCGGCGAGUGGCGAACGGGUGAGUAAUGUAUCGGAACGUGCCUAGUAGCGGGGGAUAACUACGCGAAAGCGUGGCUAAUACCGCAUACGCCCUACGGGGGAAAGGGGGGAUCGGCAAGACCUCUCACUAUUAGAGCGGCCGAUAUCAGAUUAGCUAGUUGGUGGGGUAAAAGGCCCACCAAGGCCACGAUCUGUAGCUGGUUUGAGAGGACGACCAGCCACACUGGGACUGGGACACGGCCCAGACUCCUACGGGAGGC